This 253-nucleotide ribosomal RNA is filed under the name uncultured bacterium. RNAcentral's name for it is "partial 16S ribosomal RNA". It matches the Rfam family "Bacterial small subunit ribosomal RNA", at positions 524 to 776 of the family's 1533-position model. The record is from RNAcentral.
UACGAAGGGGGCUAGCGUUGCUCGGAAUUACUGGGCGUAAAGGGAGCGUAGGCGGACAUUUAAGUCAGAGGUGAAAUCCCGGAGCUUAACUUCGGAACUGCCUUUGAUACUGGAUGUCUUGAGUGUGAGAGAGGUAUGUGGAACUCCGAGUGUAGCGGUGAAAUGCGUAGAGAUUUGGAGGAAUACCAAUGGCGAAGGCGGCUCACUGGUCCAUUACUGACGCUGAGGUGCGAAAGCGUGGGGAGCAAACAGG